RNAcentral lists this ribosomal RNA (568 nucleotides) under Enterobacter sp. Its description in RNAcentral is "bacterial SSU rRNA". It matches the Rfam family "Bacterial small subunit ribosomal RNA", at positions 97 to 661 of the family's 1533-position model. Lineage: Bacteria; Pseudomonadati; Pseudomonadota; Gammaproteobacteria; Enterobacterales; Enterobacteriaceae. The record is from RNAcentral.
GGCGGACGGGUGAGUAAUGUCUGGGAAACUGCCUGAUGGAGGGGGAUAACUACUGGAAACGGUAGCUAAUACCGCAUAACGUCGCAAGACCAAAGAGGGGGACCUUCGGGCCUCUUGCCAUCAGAUGUGCCCAGAUGGGAUUAGCUAGUAGGUGGGGUAACGGCUCACCUAGGCGACGAUCCCUAGCUGGUCUGAGAGGAUGACCAGCCACACUGGAACUGAGACACGGUCCAGACUCCUACGGGAGGCAGCAGUGGGGAAUAUUGCACAAUGGGCGCAAGCCUGAUGCAGCCAUGCCGCGUGUAUGAAGAAGGCCUUCGGGUUGUAAAGUACUUUCAGCGGGGAGGAAGGUGUUGUGGUUAAUAACCUUGUCGAUUGACGUUACCCGCAGAAGAAGCACCGGCUAACUCCGUGCCAGCAGCCGCGGUAAUACGGAGGGUGCAAGCGUUAAUCGGAAUUACUGGGCGUAAAGCGCACGCAGGCGGUCUGUCAAGUCGGAUGUGAAAUCCCCGGGCUCAACCUGGGAACUGCAUUCGAAACUGGCAGGCUAGAGUCUUGUAGAGGGGGG